Molecule: ribosomal RNA, 253 nt
Filed under: uncultured bacterium
Lineage: Bacteria
Description: partial 16S ribosomal RNA
Rfam family: Bacterial small subunit ribosomal RNA
Source: RNAcentral
UACGUAGGGAGCAAGCGUUGUUCGGAUUUACUGGGCGUAAAGUGUGCGCAGGCGGCUCCGCAAGUCGAGUGUGAAAUCCCCGAGCUUAACUUGGGAAUUGCGCUCGAAACUACGGAGCUGGAGUGUGGCAGAGGAAGGUGGAAUUCCACGUGUAGCGGUGAAAUGCGUAGAUAUGUGGAGGAACACCGAUGGCGAAGGCAGCCUUCUGGGCCAACACUGACGCUCAUGCACGAAAGCGUGGGGAGCAAACAGG